GAGACUCUGUGCGCGUGCAUAUCAAUAAGCGGAGGAAAAGAAACUAACUAGGAUUCCCCUAGUAACGGCGAGUGAAGCGGGAAGAGCUCAAAUUUGAAAUCUUCAAGGGUUUCCCUUGACGAAUUGUAGUUUAAAGAAGUGUUUUCUGUUAGAGAGGUGGUAAAAGUUCUUUGGAAUAGGACAUCAUAGAGGGUGAGAAUCCCGUAUUUGAUCACUUUCUACUAACGUUGUGAUACACUUUCAAAGAGUCGGAUUGUUUGGGAAUGCAGUCCAAAAUGGGUGGUAAAUUUCAUCUGAAGCUAAAUAUUGGCGAGAGACCGAUAGCGAACAAGUACCGUGAGGGAAAGAUGAAAAGAACUUUGAAAAGAGAGUUAAACAGUACGUGAAAUUGUCAAAAGGGAAGCGUUUGACACCAGUGUUGUUUUUCCGAAAAUCAAUUACGAAUGUUUUGUUUUUGAGAGAGUUAUGACUUCAUCGGCUUGCUUCUUUCUUUACGAAACUUUCUUAAUGCACUUUUCGGUUAACAAGUCAACAUCAAUUUCUUUUGUUGUAAAAGGGUAUGAGGAAGGUGGCUUUCUUUUCGGAGAAAGUGUUUAUAGCCUUGUGCCUCUGCAAUCGGAGAGAUUGAGGUCUGCAGCGUAGAUCCUUCGGGGUUAGAUAGCAUUUGUGCUAAGUUAUAGCUUUCAUAGACAACUUGUUGACUAUGAUUAGUCAUUGUAGCUUACUCGCUUACUGCUAUUUUACCUACGCUUAGGAUGUUGAUCUGUAGUGCGUGCGC
RNAcentral lists this ribosomal RNA (778 nucleotides) under uncultured Neocallimastigales. Its description in RNAcentral is "partial large subunit ribosomal RNA". It matches the Rfam family "Eukaryotic large subunit ribosomal RNA", at positions 23 to 647 of the family's 3401-position model. Lineage: Eukaryota; Fungi; Neocallimastigomycota; Neocallimastigomycetes; Neocallimastigales. The record is from RNAcentral.